CGGACGGGUGAGUAACGUGUAAAGAACUUACCAUAUAGACUGGGAUAACAGAGGGAAACUUCUGAUAAUACUGGAUAAGUUAGUAGUAGCAUUACUAAGUAAUGAAAGGUAGCAAUACGCUAUAUGAGAGCUUUGCAUCCUAUUAGCUAGUUGGUAAGGUAAGAGCUUACCAAGGCGAUGAUAGGUAGCCGGCCUGAGAGGGUGGACGGCCACAAGGGGACUGAGAUACGGCCCUUACUCCUACGGGAGGCAGCAGCA
This 258-nucleotide ribosomal RNA is filed under the name uncultured Sneathia sp. RNAcentral describes it as "partial 16S ribosomal RNA". It matches the Rfam family "Bacterial small subunit ribosomal RNA", at positions 99 to 355 of the family's 1533-position model. Lineage: Bacteria; Fusobacteriati; Fusobacteriota; Fusobacteriia; Fusobacteriales; Leptotrichiaceae. The record is from RNAcentral.